Long non-coding RNA from Cheilinus undulatus (humphead wrasse), 403 nucleotides. RefSeq lists it as uncharacterized. The transcript is spliced from 2 exons. The record is from RefSeq and is a predicted model, not a curated record. NCBI's taxonomy places the organism in Eukaryota, Metazoa, Chordata, Actinopteri, Labriformes, Labridae.
AGACUUCUACAGGGAGCACCCGGACAAGCCUGGCAGGACGCCAGGAGGCGUCCGUUGAGAGGGGGGUACUGUGGUGUUUUACUUUGUUUAGUCGUUUUAUUUUUGUGGAACUUCCGGUUUCCGGAGGCUGUGACUGGCUGCUAACUUUCCUGUGUUCUCCCUGAGGCUUCCUCCCCUUCCCCCCGGUGCUGUGGAGAGUUCACACCUGCAGCGUAUCACUCAUCAGGAGCGCUACUUAAGACCUGCUGCGGCUCUCUACAGCGCCUGAGUCUCGUCUUACCUACCUCACGUGCCUCCUGCCCAGAUCACCGCAGCCAGCUCCAGCACUCUCUCUCCUUCUCGGACUCUUGGAUUCACCCCUCCUGUUUCCACUUACCUGUACAAUAAACCUGUUCUAAACUGC